AUUGAACGCUGGCGGCAGGCCUAACACAUGCAAGUCGAGCGGAUGAAGGGUGCUUGCUCCUGGAUUCAGCGGCGGACGGGUGUGUAAUGCCUAGGUAUCUGCCUGGUAGUGGGGGAUAACGUCCGGAAACGGGCGCUAAUACCGCAUACGUCCUUAGGGAGAAAGUGGGGGAUCUUCGGACCUCACGCUAUCAGAUGUGCCUAGGUCGGAUUAGCUAGUUGGUGGGGUAAAGGCCUACCAAGGCGACGAUCCGUAACUGGUCUGAGAGGAUGAUCAGUCACAAUGGAACUGAGAAAAGGUCCAGACUACUACGGGAGGCAGCAGUGGGGAAGAUUGGACAAUGGGCGAAAGCCUGAUCCAGGAAAGCCGCGUGUGUGAAGAAGGUCUUCGGAUUGGAAAGCACUUUAAGUUGGGAGGAAGGGAAGUAAGUUAAUACCUUGCUGUUUUGACGUUACCAACAGAAUAAGCACCGGCUAACUUCGUG
This 484-nucleotide ribosomal RNA is filed under the name uncultured bacterium. RNAcentral describes it as "partial 16S ribosomal RNA". It matches the Rfam family "Bacterial small subunit ribosomal RNA", at positions 30 to 507 of the family's 1533-position model. The record is from RNAcentral.